AGAGUUUGAUCAUGGCUCAGGAUGAACGCUAGCGGCAGGCCUAAUACAUGCAAGUCGAACGGUAACAUUGGUGCUUGCACCAGAUGACGAGUGGCGCACGGGUGCGUAACGCGUAUGCAAUCUACCUUUUACUAGAGUAUAGCCCAGAGAAAUUUGGAUUAAUCCUCUAUAAUAUCUUUAAGUUUCAUGACUUUUAGAUUAAAGUUUUAACGGUAAAAGAUGAGCAUGCGUCCUAUUAGUUUGUAGGUGAGGUAACGGCUCACCUAGACUACGAUAGGUAGGGGCCCUGAGAGGGGGAUCCCCCACACUGGUACUGAGACACGGACCAGACUCCUACGGGAGGCAGCAGUAAGGAAUAUUGGACAAUGGACGAAAGUCUGAUCCAGCCAUGCCGCGUGCAGGAUGAAAGCCCUAUGGGUUGUAAACUGCUUUUAUACAGGAAGAAACACUCGUACGUGUACGAGCUUGACGGUACUGUAAGAAUAAGGACCGGCUAACUCCGUGCCAGCAGCCGCGGUAAUACGGAGGGUCCGAGCGUUAUCCGGAAUCAUUGGGUUUAAAGGGUCCGCAGGCGGUCUUUUAAGUCAGAGGUGAAAGCCUACAGCUCAACUGUAGAACGGCCUUUGAUACUGAAAGACUUGAGUUAUUAU
Molecule: ribosomal RNA, 650 nt
Filed under: uncultured bacterium
Lineage: Bacteria
Description: bacterial SSU rRNA
Rfam family: Bacterial small subunit ribosomal RNA
Source: RNAcentral